This 871-nucleotide ribosomal RNA is filed under the name Halomonas sp. E8(2011). Its description in RNAcentral is "bacterial SSU rRNA". It matches the Rfam family "Bacterial small subunit ribosomal RNA", at positions 81 to 953 of the family's 1533-position model. Lineage: Bacteria; Pseudomonadati; Pseudomonadota; Gammaproteobacteria; Oceanospirillales; Halomonadaceae. The record is from RNAcentral.
UUCUUGGGUGACGAGCGGCGGACGGGUGAGUAAUGCAUAGGAAUCUGCCCGGUAGUGGGGGAUAACCUGGGGAAACCCAGGCUAAUACCGCAUACGUCCUACGGGAGAAAGGGGGCUUCGGCUCCCGCUACGGGAUGAGCCUAUGUCGGAUUAGCUAGUUGGUAGGGUAACGGCCUACCAAGGCAACGAUCCGUAGCUGGUCUGAGAGGAUGAUCAGCCACAUCGGGACUGAGACACGGCCCGAACUCCUACGGGAGGCAGCAGUGGGGAAUAUUGGACAAUGGGGGCAACCCUGAUCCAGCCAUGCCGCGUGUGUGAAGAAGGCCUUCGGGUUGUAAAGCACUUUCAGCGAGGAAGAACGCCUAGUGGUUAAUACCCAUUAGGAAAGACAUCACUCGCAGAAGAAGCACCGGCUAACUCCGUGCCAGCAGCCGCGGUAAUACGGAGGGUGCAAGCGUUAAUCGGAAUUACUGGGCGUAAAGCGCGCGUAGGUGGCUUGAUAAGCCGGUUGUGAAAGCCCCGGGCUCAACCUGGGAACGGCAUCCGGAACUGUCAGGCUAGAGUGCAGGAGAGGAAGGUAGAAUUCCCGGUGUAGCGGUGAAAUGCGUAGAGAUCGGGAGGAAUACCAGUGGCGAAGGCGGCCUUCUGGACUGACACUGACACUGAGGUGCGAAAGCGUGGGUAGCAAACAGGAUUAGAUACCCUGGUAGUCCACGCCGUAAACGAUGUCGACCAGCCGUUGGGUGCCUAGCGCACUUUGUGGCGAAGUUAACGCGAUAAGUCGACCGCCUGGGGAGUACGGCCGCAAGGUUAAAACUCAAAUGAAUUGACAGGGGCCCGCACAAGCGGUGGAGCAAUGUGGUUUAAUUCG